CUAGAGUGUGCCUAUAAAAGAAGG
Molecule: non-coding RNA, 24 nt
Filed under: Arabidopsis thaliana (thale cress)
Lineage: Eukaryota; Viridiplantae; Streptophyta; Magnoliopsida; Brassicales; Brassicaceae
Source: RNAcentral